RNAcentral lists this unclassified non-coding RNA (748 nucleotides) under uncultured Prochlorococcus sp. Its description in RNAcentral is "partial may contain 16S ribosomal RNA, 16S-23S ribosomal RNA intergenic spacer, and 23S ribosomal RNA". The stretch from base 1 to 97 matches the Rfam family "Bacterial small subunit ribosomal RNA", at positions 1437 to 1533 of the family's 1533-position model. Lineage: Bacteria; Bacillati; Cyanobacteriota; Cyanophyceae; Synechococcales; Prochlorococcaceae. The record is from RNAcentral.
ACCCUUGUGGAGAAGGACGCCGAAGGUGGGGCUGAUGACUGGGGUGAAGUCGUAACAAGGUAGCCGUACCGGAAGGUGCGGCUGGAUCACCUCCUAACAGGGAGACAAUAAAUUGAUUGUGAUGUCUAAGUUAUUUAUUCUUAGGCCGCAAUCCUGUCACCUUAAGGUCGAUCGGUACCUCAGAUUUUUGAAUUAGUUUCAUAAUUAAUUCUUUGGUUUCAGUUCCUAAACUUGUCUAGGUCACACCCAACAAAGGUUUCUCCUGGGCCAUUAGCUCAGGUGGUUAGAGCGCACCCCUGAUAAGGGUGAGGUCCCUGGUUCAAGUCCAGGAUGGCCCAUUCGUUGUUGGGGGUAUAGCUCAGUUGGUAGAGCGCCUGCUUUGCAAGCAGGAUGUCAGCGGUUCGAGUCCGCUUACCUCCACUGAAAACUAUCCUGAUAACUAAAUUCGGAGAAAAAUUUGUGGAAGUGGCUUAGAAUUUUCUGUCUGAAAAGAACCUAGCUUCUUGUCAUCUUUUUAUAGUUGAUAAAAUGCUGGGCUCGCAUGGAUUAAUUCCAUGAGAAUUCAGUAGAACCUUGAAAACUGCAUAGAUUAGAAAGAAUAAAGCAUCUCAUGGAUGCAUAAUUCUGGUUUUUAUAAUUUAGCAUCAAACUAAAUUACUUAAUUCUAGAAUUCAUGUUUAAUUCUUGAGAAAAAGCCGAGCACAAAUUAAUUUUGUGUUUGUAUUUAAGGUCAAGCUACAAAGGGCUC